UGACGGUACCUAACCAGAAAGCUCCGGCUAACUACGUGCCAGCAGCCGCGGUAAUACGUAGGGAGCGAGCGUUAUCCGGAAUUAUUGGGCGUAAAGCGUGCGUAGGCGGUAUGUUAAGUCAAAUGUGAAAGCCCAGGGCUUAACCCUGGAGAGUCAUUUGAAACUGGCAUGCUUGAGUACGGCAGAGGUAAGUGGAAUUCAAUGUGUAGCGGUGGAAUGCGUAGAUAUAUUGAGGAACACCAGUGGCGAAGGCGGCUUACUGGACCGGAACUGACGCUGAGGCACGAAAGCGUGGGGAGCAAACAGGAUUAGAUACCCUGGUAGUCCACGCUGUAAACGAUGAGAACUAAGUGUUGGGGUUACCCAGUGCUGAAGUUAACGCAUUAA
RNAcentral lists this ribosomal RNA (387 nucleotides) under uncultured bacterium. Its description in RNAcentral is "bacterial SSU rRNA". It matches the Rfam family "Bacterial small subunit ribosomal RNA", at positions 470 to 863 of the family's 1533-position model. The record is from RNAcentral.